CUGCGGAGGGAUCAUUACAAGAACGCCCGGGCUACGGCCUGGUUAUUCAUAACCCUUUGUUGUCCGACUCUGUUGCCUCCGGGGCGACCCUGCCUUCGGGCGGGGGCUCCGGGUGGACACUUCAAACUCUUGCGUAACUUUGCAGUCUGAGUAAACUUAAUUAAUAAAUUAAAACUUUUAACAACGGAUCUCUUGGUUCUGGCAUCGAUGAAGAACGCAGCGAAAUGCGAUAAGUAAUGUGAAUUGCAGAAUUCAGUGAAUCAUCGAAUCUUUGAACGCACAUUGCGCCCCCUGGUAUUCCGGGGGGCAUGCCUGUUCGAGCGUCAUUUCACCACUCAAGCCUCGCUUGGUAUUGGGCAACGCGGUCCGCCGCGUGCCUCAAAUCGUCCGGCUGGGUCUUCUGUCCCCUAAGCGUUGUGGAAACUAUUCGCUAAAGGGUGUUCGGGAGGCUACGCCGUAAAACAACCCCAUUUCUAAGGUUGACCUCGGAUCAGGUAGGGAUACCCGCUGAACUUAAGCAUA
Molecule: ribosomal RNA, 522 nt
Filed under: fungal sp.
Lineage: Eukaryota; Fungi
Description: eukaryotic LSU rRNA
Rfam family: 5.8S ribosomal RNA (bases 173-326)
Source: RNAcentral